CACUAAGAAGCUAUAGGACCAAAGCGACAGCCUUUUAAGCUGUAGAUAGGUGAUCUCCAACCACCCUUAGUGA
Molecule: transfer RNA, 73 nt
Filed under: Hyla sanchiangensis (San Chiang treefrog)
Lineage: Eukaryota; Metazoa; Chordata; Amphibia; Anura; Hylidae
Description: tRNA-Lys
Rfam family: tRNA
About the family: Transfer RNA (tRNA) molecules are approximately 80 nucleotides in length.
Source: RNAcentral